AGCUUAAUAGUUUAACAUAAAACAUAAAUUUUGUAAAUUUAAAUUAAAUAUUAAUUAUUUUUAAGCUU
This 68-nucleotide transfer RNA is filed under the name Vespa velutina. Its description in RNAcentral is "tRNA-Thr". Lineage: Eukaryota; Metazoa; Arthropoda; Insecta; Hymenoptera; Vespidae. RNAcentral also lists the same sequence under 2 other names. The record is from RNAcentral.